This 1442-nucleotide ribosomal RNA is filed under the name uncultured organism. RNAcentral describes it as "SSU rRNA". It matches the Rfam family "Bacterial small subunit ribosomal RNA". The record is from RNAcentral.
ACGCUAGCUACAGGCUUAACACAUGCAAGUCGAGGGGCAUCAAGAAGAAAGCUUGCUUUCUUUGCUGGCGACCGGCGCACGGGUGAGUAACACGUAUCCAACCUGCCCUUUACUCGGGGAUAGCCUUUCGAAAGAAAGAUUAAUACCCGAUAGCAUAAUGAUUCCGCAUGGUUUCAUUAUUAAAGGAUUCCGGUAAAGGAUGGGGAUGCGUUCCAUUAGGUUGUUGGUGAGGUAACGGCUCACCAAGCCUUCGAUGGAUAGGGGUUCUGAGAGGAAGGUCCCCCACAUUGGAACUGAGACACGGUCCAAACUCCUACGGGAGGCAGCAGUGAGGAAUAUUGGUCAAUGGGCGCUAGCCUGAACCAGCCAAGUAGCGUGAAGGAUGAAGGCUCUAUGGGUCGUAAACUUCUUUUAUAUAAGAAUAAAGUGCAGUAUGUAUACUGUUUUGUAUGUAUUAUAUGAAUAAGGAUCGGCUAACUCCGUGCCAGCAGCCGCGGUAAUACGGAGGAUCCGAGCGUUAUCCGGAUUUAUUGGGUUUAAAGGGAGCGUAGGUGGACUGGUAAGUCAGUUGUGAAAGUUUGCGGCUCAACCGUAAAAUUGCAGUUGAUACUGUCAGUCUUGAGUACAGUAGAGGUGGGCGGAAUUCGUGGUGUAGCGGUGAAAUGCUUAGAUAUCACGAAGAACUCCGAUUGCGAAGGCAGCUCACUGGACUGCAACUGACACUGAUGCUCGAAAGUGUGGGUAUCAAACAGGAUUAGAUACCCUGGUAGUCCACACAGUAAACGAUGAAUACUCGCUGUUUGCGAUAUACAGUAAGCGGCCAAGCGAAAGCAUUAAGUAUUCCACCUGGGGAGUACGCCGGCAACGGUGAAACUCAAAGGAAUUGACGGGGGCCCGCACAAGCGGAGGAACAUGUGGUUUAAUUCGAUGAUACGCGAGGAACCUUACCCGGGCUUAAAUUGCAGUGGAAUGAUGUGGAAACAUGUCAGUGAGCAAUCACCGCUGUGAAGGUGCUGCAUGGUUGUCGUCAGCUCGUGCCGUGAGGUGUCGGCUUAAGUGCCAUAACGAGCGCAACCCUUAUCUUCAGUUACUAACAGGUCAUGCUGAGGACUCUGGAGAGACUGCCGUCGUAAGAUGUGAGGAAGGUGGGGAUGACGUCAAAUCAGCACGGCCCUUACGUCCGGGGCUACACACGUGUUACAAUGGGGGGUACAGAAGGCAGCUAGCGGGUGACCGUAUGCUAAUCCCAAAAGCCUCUCUCAGUUCGGAUCGAAGUCUGCAACCCGACUUCGUGAAGCUGGAUUCGCUAGUAAUCGCGCAUCAGCCACGGCGCGGUGAAUACGUUCCCGGGCCUUGUACACACCGCCCGUCAAGCCAUGGGAGCCGGGGGUACCUGAAGUACGUAACCGCAAGGAUCGUCCUAGGGUAAAACUGGUGACUGG